CUCUUGGUCUGGUUUCUGAGUCUCGGGGGCUCCUCGGGACCCUGUGCCCCUUAGGGGUCUGGAGUCUUUCAGUAUGUGGUUCUACAAAGGAAGAACCAAGUCCAGAACCCUGGGAAAGCUGGGCUUCUAAUUCUGAUCGCUGUGGAAUAUUCUUUAGGAUCUUUGGAAGGGAAGAAUAGCAAUGGUUCCAAGCAGCUCCCUGAUUUGCUUUCCUCCAGUCAGACCAGAUCUCCGAAUGUCACUGCUUAAGAAGACAAUGUCAGCUGCAGAUAAAGUUGGCAGAGCUGAGUGGUGCCCCCCUGCCUUCAGAGGGUUCAGGGUUCAGACCCCAAGAAAAGUGCAAACAAAAUAUAGAGGCACCGUUUGGAGACUGUCCCUGCUACAGUUUGGGGACGGCAUCACACUGGACAUGCGGCCUUGCCUUCUGAUGUGGGAAAGACUGCUUGAACCCACUGCUGAUGACAGGAACCGGAGGAGACAUUGUAGACCAUGUGGUAGAUGAGGAUGAAGGAGUAAACAGAAAGAUGGAAGCUGGGUCCUUUGUCCUAUAGAUUCUUCAUCAACUCUACACCCUGUU
RNAcentral lists this long non-coding RNA (577 nucleotides) under Cricetulus griseus (Chinese hamster). RNAcentral describes it as "lncRNA (ENSCGRG00015039295.1)". Lineage: Eukaryota; Metazoa; Chordata; Mammalia; Rodentia; Cricetidae. The record is from RNAcentral.